RNAcentral lists this long non-coding RNA (590 nucleotides) under Homo sapiens (human). RNAcentral's name for it is "novel transcript". The record is from RNAcentral. Lineage: Eukaryota; Metazoa; Chordata; Mammalia; Primates; Hominidae.
GAGGGCAUCAGCAAGUUCAAAGUCAACAACACCAUUCUUCACCCAGAGAUCGUUUAGUGCCGAGUGUUUAAGACGGACAUAGAGCUGGAGGUUCUGCACUACACCAAUAAAAUCUCCAGUGAGACCCACUGUGAGUUCUGGAAUAUAAAGGAGAGAAGGCUGAAAAGUGAAGGGUGCAACCUAAGACUCUGACCAGUGACUAGGAGUUUUCCAGAGGAGGAAGAACGGGAAAGGCAUUUCAGGAAAAGGCCAGCAUGAACACGCAUAUGAAGCUGCACGCAGGUGCAGAAAAAGGGAGUGGCAGCCUAUUUUUUCUGACUGUAAAAUGGACUACAAGAGAAAAUUCCUGCUCAGAGGGUGCCCUCUCUUGCAGUAAAAAUCCUUUUUGAAGAUGGUCAAUAACAUGAGGACAUAGAGCAGAAUCACAUUCUGUUUCUACAAAACACCCCCACCACCAUUUUAAACUACAAAUCUGCCAAACAAAAGAUCAUCCAAAAGACACUUUUUGAGUGCAUUGCAGAACUGGGAGGGUAUCUUCUUCCGAAGUAAUUUCAUUUUUCAGGCUUGCAAUAAUAAAAUGAUCUUAAGAG